CUAUGAGCCAUCCAAUGUUCACAAUGUUAGGGGUAUAUAAGUGAACAAAAAGAUAAAAAAAUAAAAUCCUAUAUUUUUCAGAGUUUAUAUUCUUUUGUAGGAGAUAGAUAUUAAACCAUAAAUGUGAUAAAUUCUAUUGACAUGACAAGGACCCUGGAUACGGAGAAACAAUAAUAGAGGGAAGCAAGGAGGAUUGCGAGAGUUGUUAGAAAGAAUCACUUCAUCAUCUCCCUCAUCCGUCCUAAGGACAAGCCUCUUUGAGAAGUUGACAUGUUGAAAUAUAUAAUGAGAGCACUUGAAAAGUUGCAGCCAAGGAGAGAGAGGAGAAUGUGGUUACCUUCAUUGAAACAGAUCUCUCAGCAUUUUAAAUAAUUCAUUAUUUUUUGCUCUACGAACAGUGAUGUUUUUCAACAAUAUCAACUACUAAUUAAGAAGAAUCUUAUAAAACAAAAAUAUCAAAUAUUUUAUUACAAUGAUAAGGUGAAUAUAUUGAUCCUCCUGGAAGAAUCAUUCACUGGCGGUAGAACUGAGUCCAAUUUUAAAUUCUACAGGGGAGCUGGUUUCGGUUUAAAUUAAUGAAGAAUUUGAAAUAGACUUUUCCAAGGAUGGAAAGCAUUGCUCUGGAAGAUAAUGAAUCUCAGACAUGGAAGACAUCCUGGCUAGGCUACAUAAUCAUUGGGCAGAGACUUUUGUCAUGAGGAUUCAAACCAUCAACUACAUGGACCCUAGGAGUAUACGAUCCUAUAACAAUUAAUUUAAUAGGUACUCAAGAAAUUGCAAUAAGCAGAAAAGAAAUGGUGACUUUCUCCAAUCUGUUCUACCCUGAAAUUUCAUCAGUGGGUGACAAAUGGACUCUCUCCAGAGAUUUCUGCUUGUUGGUAGAGCUAAUCCAUAGCACAGAAUGUUUCCAGAUCAGAUAAUGUAAACCUAUUGGUUGCUAUACUUAGAGUAUAAGAGUAUGAAUUUGGUAGGGUCACAAUUAAGACUCUGUCUUCUCAUGCUGUACCAAUACAUAAGCAUUUUAAAUAAAGACAAUCCUGGGAAUAUAUAAAAAUUUGACUACUAACAAUACACAAAUUCCUCCUAUCUUUCAGAUUUCUAUUAUGGAGAGUCAGGUUGAU
RNAcentral lists this long non-coding RNA (1121 nucleotides) under Equus asinus (donkey). RNAcentral describes it as "lncRNA (ENSEASG00005026308.1)". Lineage: Eukaryota; Metazoa; Chordata; Mammalia; Perissodactyla; Equidae. The record is from RNAcentral.